This is a long non-coding RNA of Lolium rigidum, 433 nucleotides long. RefSeq lists it as uncharacterized. The transcript is spliced from 3 exons. NCBI's taxonomy places the organism in Eukaryota, Viridiplantae, Streptophyta, Magnoliopsida, Poales, Poaceae. The record is from RefSeq and is a predicted model, not a curated record.
GCACGCCGGCUCUCUUUGCCAUGGUGACGUGUCUAGCAUCCACAUCGACGGCUACGACUAUGACCGCCUCUUCACUUGUCGGUGCCGCUACCUCAUGCUCCGCUUUAUGUCGGCAUUCCAGUGAGCUUGAUAAGAUAUUUUAGCACCUUGAUGAGACACCAUUGUGCCAUUAGGGAAAUCUUCAUCAUCACGUUUCUCUCUUUUCCUAAGAAUACGAUGGAUCUUCAGUUAUUUAAUUCUAUCUCUUUAUGCAAAUGUCCAACAGGAGCAAUUUCUUGAGUUCUUGAUAGGCAGGGAACACCGCCUCCUCCGCUGGGUGAAGAUAAUCUCAAACUUCUCCAUUGCGUUGGUUAAGAAAAAGCCUCAAUGAUCCGCAGAUGCUGAAAUUAGUCAUGUGAAAUAGUACUUUAUGUAUGUUCGUGAUUUUAAAAUA